Molecule: ribosomal RNA, 486 nt
Filed under: uncultured bacterium
Lineage: Bacteria
Description: bacterial SSU rRNA
Rfam family: Bacterial small subunit ribosomal RNA
Source: RNAcentral
GUUAGUACUAUGGCUCAGGAUUAACGCUGGCGGCGUGCCUAGUACAUGCAAGUCGAAUGGUUAGCUUGGCUAACCAUGGCGAACGGGUGAGUAACACGUAGGCAACCUGUCUAAGAGACGAGGAUAACCAUUGGAAACGAUGGAUAAUACUGGAUAAGAUAUUGGGAGGCAUCUUCUGAUAUUUAAAAGAUUUAUCACUAAGUAGAGGGGCCUGCGGCGCAUUAGCUAGUUGGUGAGGUAACGGCCCACCAAGGCGAUGAUGCGUAGCCGGACUGAGAGGUUGAACGGCCACAAUGGGACUGAGAACGGCCCAUACUCCUACGGGAGGCAGCAGUAGGGAAUUUUCGGCAAUGGACGAAAGUCUGACCGAAGCAACGCCGCGUGAACGAAGAAGUAUUUCGGUAUGUAAAGUUCUUUUAUUUGGGAAGAAAAUACACUGGCUGUACCAAAUGAAUAAGCUCCGGCUAACUACGUGCCAGCAGCAGC